GAUGAAGAACGUAGCGAAAUGCGAUACUUGGUGUGAAUUGCAGAAUCCCGUGAACCAUCGAGUCUUUGAACGCAAGUUGCGCCCGAAGCCGUCAGGCCGAGGGCACGCCUGCCUGGGCGUCACACGCCGUUGCCCCCCCGCGCCCCGCCCCCAACGCUUUGGGAGCGACCGCGGGGCGGGCUGAUGAUGGCCUCCCGUGCGCUCCGCCGCGCGGUUGGCCCAAAUACCGAGUCCCCGGCGACGGGCGCCACGACGAUCGGUGGUUGAGAGACCUCUGUCGCAAGUCGUGCGCGCCCGUCGCGUCACGCGGGCUCGCAUAGCGCCUCGCGCCGCACCCGGUGCGGAGCUUUCAACGCGACCCCAGGUCAGGCGGGGUUACCCGCUGAAUUUAAGCAUAUCAAUAAGCGGAGGA
Molecule: unclassified non-coding RNA, 412 nt
Filed under: soil metagenome
Description: partial contains 5.8S ribosomal RNA, internal transcribed spacer 2, and large subunit ribosomal RNA
Rfam family: 5.8S ribosomal RNA (bases 1-122)
Source: RNAcentral